This 606-nucleotide ribosomal RNA is filed under the name uncultured delta proteobacterium. RNAcentral describes it as "bacterial SSU rRNA". It matches the Rfam family "Bacterial small subunit ribosomal RNA", at positions 227 to 828 of the family's 1533-position model. Lineage: Bacteria; Deltaproteobacteria. The record is from RNAcentral.
GGGCCUGCGUUUCAUUAGCUAGUUGGUAAGGUAACGGCUUACCAAGGCUACGACGGGUAGCUGGCCUGAGAGGGUGGCCAGUCACACUGGAACUGGAACACGGUCCAGACUCCUACGGGAGGCAGCAGUAGGGAAUCUUGCGCAAUGGGGGAAACCCUGACGCAGCGACGCCGCGUGGGUGAAGAAGGCCUUCGGGUUGUAAAGCCCUGUCGCGAGGGAAGAAACGGUCCCGGGUAACGCCGGUCCGCGACGGUACCUCGUGAGAAAGCACAGGCUAACUCCGUGCCAGCAGCCGCGGUAAUACGGAGUGUGCGAGCGUUGUUCGGAAUUACUGGGCGUAAAGCGAGUGUAGGCUGCUAGGUAAGUCGGAUGUGAAAGCCCACGGCUCAACCGUGGAGGGUCAUCCGAAACUGCUUAGCUUGAGUUCGGGAGAGGGUAGCGGAAUUCCCGGUGUAGAGGUGAAAUUCGUAGAUAUCGGGAGGAACACCAGCGGCGAAGGCGGCUGCCUGGACCGAUACUGACGCUGAGACUCGAAAGCGUGGGGAGCAAACAGGAUUAGAUACCCUGGUAGUCCACGCCGUAAACGAUGAACACUAGAUGUCGGGC